ACUUACCUGACCAAUUUGGUAGAUUAUAUCUUGAUUAGAUUGCUAAGUGAUUCGAGUUGACCCAUGCCAUUAAGAUUGAUCAAUGUGACUCAUCUAAGUGCCAUUUCAACCAACAUUACCCUAAUCCAAUUCAAUGACUUAGUAAAAUCUAUGAGAGGAUUAUGGUUUACUAGUUAAUCUCUUCUCUUCUCUUCUCUUAAUUCAUAAAUUAAAUCUUCUAAAUUAUUAGG
This 230-nucleotide long non-coding RNA is filed under the name Elaeis guineensis (African oil palm). RNAcentral describes it as "long non-coding RNA (EGUI_LNC041228)". The record is from RNAcentral. Lineage: Eukaryota; Viridiplantae; Streptophyta; Magnoliopsida; Arecales; Arecaceae.